GCGGCGAGCGAAAUGGGAAGAGCCUGUACGUGAUAGUCGGACCGAUAACAGAAUCCUCUGGAAAUAGGAGCCAUAGUGGGUGAUAGCCCCGUAUGUGAAAUCGGACCGGUGAUACUAAGCGUACGACAAGUAGGGCGGGACACGUGACAUCCUGUCUGAAUAUGGGGGGACCAUCCUCCAAGGCUAAAUACUCGUAAUCGACCGAUAGUGAACCAGUACCGUG
RNAcentral lists this ribosomal RNA (223 nucleotides) under Janthinobacterium sp. NKUCC08_JDC. RNAcentral describes it as "partial 23S ribosomal RNA". It matches the Rfam family "Bacterial large subunit ribosomal RNA", at positions 246 to 505 of the family's 2925-position model. The record is from RNAcentral. Lineage: Bacteria; Pseudomonadati; Pseudomonadota; Betaproteobacteria; Burkholderiales; Oxalobacteraceae.